Molecule: transfer RNA, 73 nt
Filed under: Ovis aries (sheep)
Lineage: Eukaryota; Metazoa; Chordata; Mammalia; Artiodactyla; Bovidae
Rfam family: tRNA
About the family: Transfer RNA (tRNA) molecules are approximately 80 nucleotides in length.
Source: Rfam by way of RNAcentral
UCCCUGGUGGUUCAGUGGGUAAGACUCCACACUCUAAAUGCAGGGGGCCUGGGUUUGAUCCCUGGUCAGGGAA